AUUGCUUCUCAGCCUCGUGGCUAAGAUCACAGUAUCUGUAUCGCACAGUAUCUGUUCUUAUUAGUUUAAUAGCUGAAAUGUCCUUUAUUUGAGGACUGUGUAUUAAAUUUAUUUUUGGAACAGAGGGCUGGAAUAGGAGCUUGCUCUGUCCGUGCCAUGCAUUGACCUGGUAUUGCAAUGCCUCCAGGAACGGUGCAUCUCCC
RNAcentral lists this small nuclear RNA (203 nucleotides) under Terrapene triunguis (Three-toed box turtle). RNAcentral describes it as "Terrapene carolina triunguis (Three-toed box turtle) U2 spliceosomal RNA (ENSTMTG00000002133.1)". It matches the Rfam family "U2 spliceosomal RNA". From Rfam's summary of the family: U2 is a small nuclear RNA (snRNA) component of the spliceosome (involved in pre-mRNA splicing). Complementary binding between U2 snRNA (in an area lying towards the 5' end but 3' to hairpin I) and the branchpoint sequence (BPS) of the intron results the bulging out of an unpaired adenosine, on the BPS, which initiates a nucleophilic attack at the intronic 5' splice site, thus starting the first of two transesterification reactions that mediate splicing. Lineage: Eukaryota; Metazoa; Chordata; Testudines; Emydidae. The record is from Rfam by way of RNAcentral.